GACUCGGCCAAGUUCGAUCAAUCAAGGGGGCUCCUAGGUCAGUAGUACUCUGAUACCAACUUGUCACGCCCAAGAUGCGACCCUAUCCUCAAUUUGGCACAAAGGCCUCGUCAGGGAUAGAAGCGCAUCUCGUCAUGUCGCAAGAAUGCAUAUCGUUACAAGUACAUGUACUGAAAAGAUGAGAUAUAUAUAGAAUUGGCUUACACUCACCACAAGCUACAUCAGAGUCACAGCAGUACAAUACAUAAUCAUCAUGAAGAAGAGCAGGGUCCGACUACGAACGAAAACAAACGGGAAAAGAAGAACGACGUCCAUCCUUGCUAUCCCAGGUUGCCGGCCUGGAACCCAUCCUAGAUCGAUGAAGAAGAAGAAGAAGAAGCAACUCCAAAUGAACAAUCAACGCGCUCGCGUCAAGUAACCUUUACCUGUACCUGCAACUGGUGUUGUAGUAAUCUAUGAGCCACAUGGGACUCAGCAAUCUCAUUUCCAAAGGUAUCAAGACUAGCAAAGCUUAAUGGGUGAGGCAUGGUUAAGUGGUGAGGUUUCACCAGCGGCUAAGCAUAUAUUUGGUGACUACACUUACGAGUACAGGAAAUAAGAGGGGGAAGAUCUACGCAUAGUGGACGUGAACUACGGAUGAUCAAAUGAAUGAUCCUGAACACCAACCUACGUCCGAUAUAACCCCACCGUGUUCUCGAUCGAAGAAGGAACUCACGAAAGAGACAGUCACGGUUACGCACACAGUUGGCAAGUUUUAAUUAAGUUAACUUCAAGUUAUCUAGAAC
This 785-nucleotide long non-coding RNA is filed under the name Hordeum vulgare. Its description in RNAcentral is "long non-coding RNA (HVUL_LNC001285)". The record is from RNAcentral. Lineage: Eukaryota; Viridiplantae; Streptophyta; Magnoliopsida; Poales; Poaceae.